This 692-nucleotide ribosomal RNA is filed under the name Pseudomonas sp. TAD053. RNAcentral's name for it is "bacterial SSU rRNA". It matches the Rfam family "Bacterial small subunit ribosomal RNA", at positions 56 to 744 of the family's 1533-position model. The record is from RNAcentral. Lineage: Bacteria; Pseudomonadati; Pseudomonadota; Gammaproteobacteria; Pseudomonadales; Pseudomonadaceae.
UGCAGUCGAGCGGUAGAGAGAAGCUUGCUUCUCUUGAGAGCGGCGGACGGGUGAGUAAUGCCUAGGAAUCUGCCUGGUAGUGGGGGAUAACGUUCGGAAACGAACGCUAAUACCGCAUACGUCCUACGGGAGAAAGCAGGGGACCUUCGGGCCUUGCGCUAUCAGAUGAGCCUAGGUCGGAUUAGCUAGUUGGUGGGGUAAUGGCUCACCAAGGCGACGAUCCGUAACUGGUCUGAGAGGAUGAUCAGUCACACUGGAACUGAGACACGGUCCAGACUCCUACGGGAGGCAGCAGUGGGGAAUAUUGGACAAUGGGCGAAAGCCUGAUCCAGCCAUGCCGCGUGUGUGAAGAAGGUCUUCGGAUUGUAAAGCACUUUAAGUUGGGAGGAAGGGCCAUUACCUAAUACGUGAUGGUUUUGACGUUACCGACAGAAUAAGCACCGGCUAACUCUGUGCCAGCAGCCGCGGUAAUACAGAGGGUGCAAGCGUUAAUCGGAAUUACUGGGCGUAAAGCGCGCGUAGGUGGUUCGUUAAGUUGGAUGUGAAAUCCCCGGGCUCAACCUGGGAACUGCAUUCAAAACUGUCGAGCUAGAGUAUGGUAGAGGGUGGUGGAAUUUCCUGUGUAGCGGUGAAAUGCGUAGAUAUAGGAAGGAACACCAGUGGCGAAGGCGACCACCUGGACUGAUACUGAC